Small nuclear RNA from Camelus dromedarius (Arabian camel), 108 nucleotides. NCBI's taxonomy places the organism in Eukaryota, Metazoa, Chordata, Mammalia, Artiodactyla, Camelidae. The record is from Ensembl.
AUGCUCACUUGGGCAGCACAUAUACUGAAAUUGAAAUGAUACAGAGAAGAUUAGCACACCCCCUGUACAGGGAAGACAUGUAUUUUUUGAGGAAUAUUUCAGUGUUUA